Molecule: ribosomal RNA, 253 nt
Filed under: uncultured bacterium
Lineage: Bacteria
Description: partial 16S ribosomal RNA
Rfam family: Bacterial small subunit ribosomal RNA
Source: RNAcentral
UACGGAGGGUGCAAGCGUUAUCCGGAUUCACUGGGUUUAAAGGGUGCGUAGGUGGUCUAUUAAGUCAGUGCUGAAAUAUCCCGGCUUAACCGGGAGGGUGGCAUUGAUACUGAUGGACUUGAAUGGAGUCGAGGUAGGCGGAAUUGACGGUGUAGCGGUGAAAUGCUUAGAUAUCGUCAAGAACACCGAUAGUGUAGACAGCUUACUAGGCUCUAAUUGACACUGAGGCACGAAAGUGUGGGGAUCAAACAGG